UACGUAGGGUCCGAGCGUUGUCCGGAAUUAUUGGGCGUAAAGGGCUCGUAGGCGGUUUGUCGCGUCGGGAGUGAAAUCCACUGGCUUAACUGGUGGCUUGCUUUCGAUACGGGCAGACUGGAGGUAUGCAGGGGAGAACGGAAUUCCUGGUGUAGCGGUGAAAUGCGCAGAUAUCGGGAGGAACACCGGUGGCGAAGGCGGUUCUCUGGGCCUUACCUGACGCUGAGGAGCGAAAGCGUGGGGAGCGAACAGG
RNAcentral lists this ribosomal RNA (253 nucleotides) under uncultured bacterium. RNAcentral describes it as "partial 16S ribosomal RNA". It matches the Rfam family "Bacterial small subunit ribosomal RNA", at positions 524 to 776 of the family's 1533-position model. The record is from RNAcentral.